GCCGAUUGUGUGAAGCUGUCUCAUUCCUUCCACCUGUGUCUGAUUCCCAUUAUCUGUCAGCCAUUCCUUGGUGGAUUUGCAAGCUAACUUAUUUUGUUACCCUACUGAAAAGUCCUAUCCUAGUUCAAAAUGAAAUUUUAGAAAGAUGGCCUUACAUUACCUUCUAAGCGCAUGAUGUGGAAUCCAUAGUUAAAUCAAUGACUUUAGGCUUCUCAGUCCCCGAAAGAGCAAAGUAACCCCAAACUGUAAUAUUUCCACCAACAUGAGCCGCAGUGAAUGUGAGAUUUUUUUUUUUUUCUUCUACUUUAGGAUACGGAUCCCAUGCUAUUCAGAUUUGUGAAAUCACUCUCCUUUGACACCAGCUGUUGCAAGAGUUGUCUGCAGAUGAUGUAAUGAAAUUUGGGGUUUAUUGAAGACUUCUUUCACAUCAAACAGUCUGCUCCUGGGCUGACUGUUAUGUAUGAUGUAUUUCAAAUAAUUUGGAGAUCUCUUUUUUUUAAAUUCCUUGCCAGACUCUUUGGAAUCAUAGACAUAACAAGACAUUUCUAAAAGCUGUA
This is a long non-coding RNA of Oreochromis niloticus (Nile tilapia), 557 nucleotides long. RefSeq lists it as uncharacterized. The transcript is spliced from 2 exons. NCBI's taxonomy places the organism in Eukaryota, Metazoa, Chordata, Actinopteri, Cichliformes, Cichlidae. The record is from RefSeq and is a predicted model, not a curated record.